Long non-coding RNA from Pogoniulus pusillus (Red-fronted tinkerbird), 1763 nucleotides. RefSeq lists it as uncharacterized. The transcript is spliced from 2 exons. Lineage: Eukaryota; Metazoa; Chordata; Aves; Piciformes; Lybiidae. The record is from RefSeq and is a predicted model, not a curated record.
CUUAGUGCCAGGGGUUAGUUAAUUAGAAGGUGUUAGGGGAUAGGUUGGACUCCAUCUUGGAGGUCUUUUCCAACCUGGUUAAUUCUGUGAUCCUGUGAUUCUUCUUUUGAGCUGGCACCUUCUUGAGCUGCCCCCACCUCCCAUGACAGCAGCAGUGGCAGGAGCAGAAGCCUCCCGAAGCACAGCAGCACGCAGAGCCCAGCUGGCUGCACACCACUGGGCCUUUUCCCUGGCUUCCUGAUUUUUAUCUCCUUCCUUUCAAAAAGCCAGAAACUGAUGAGGGCAGGAGAUAGCCCAGCCUGGCACAGCUCUUCCAGCGUGCCUUUGCCACCCUGCACCACCACCUGAGCUGCUGCUGGUGGCCUGAAGUUGCUCCCUGGCAGGCACUCUGCAGGCAGGUGCUGGCCAGUUCUACCCUCAGCCCUGGGGGAAGGUGCUUGGCUCCAUCCACCUGCCCCAGAGCCUUGGUAAGCCCAAUGUGUCCUUCAGCCACGGCAGCAUCUCCAGCAAGGUUAGAGCUGUCUGCAGUUGUCCUGCCUGCCCCCUUCCUGCUUCAUCUCACUGAUGCAGCCCCAAGACCCAGCUUGAGAGUUCUCCAGCUGCUGGGGGCCCUGUCCAGGGCUCCCUCUUUCAUCCUGCUCUUCCAGCCCCAUGGAAGAGCCUGAGGAGAUCCCCCAGCUGAUGAGGUCCCAUCCCAAAGUGGCUUAGGGCAAAGGCUCAGGAUCUGGGCCAGGGAAGGGAGCCCAAGAGGCAGGAUCUGGGCCAGGGAAGGGGAGCCCAAGAGGCAGGAUCUGGGCCAGGGAAGGGGAGCCCAAGAGGCAGGAUCUGGGCCAGGGAAGGGGAGCCCAAGAGGCAGGAUCUGGGCCAGGGAAGGGGAGCCCAAGAGGCAGGAUCUGGGCCAGGAAAGGGGAGCCCAGAGGCAGGAUCUGGGCCAGAGAAGGGGAGCCCAAGAGGCAGGAUCUGGGCCAGGGAAGGGGAGCCCAAGAGGCAGGAUCUGGGCCAGGGCAGGGGAGCCCAGAGGCAAGAUCUGGGCCAGGGCAGGGGAGCCCAGAGACAGGAACUCUGCCCCAAGGCACAACCCAGAGCAGAUCCUGCAAGGAAUCAAAGCCUUGAGAUGUUUGGAAUGGUUUAAAAUACUUUAUUGCAACAUCAAGACAGUUCUCUGACUUCUCCCAGCAGCAGGGCUCCUGCAGGUGAACACCAAAACCACUUUACUCUUAAAUUAGAACUUCUUUAUAUAUAUAUUAAAGAAAAAAAAAGAUAAAAGAAAAAGGUUUGUUUUUUUCUCUCCCUCCCUGUGCAGACAGGUCCUGCAUGCCCCCAGCUCUCCUGCUAGCAGGAGCCAGUGGCAGAUGACUUCUUUUCUACAACCCAAGCUGGUGGAAGAAGAGCAGCCCCAUCUUUUUUUUUUUCCCCCCCACCUGAUAAAUGACUUUUUUGUUUCUAAUGGCACCCAAGAAGGCAGAUUUUUAACCUCCUUUUCUACGUUCCCCUCCUCCCCUCCCCACCAAAGGGAGGACAACAGCCACAGCUCCACCUGUCCAGAGGUCACCAAGCAGCACAAAUCUGCCUCCCAUCCCUGUAAAGGUCUCUCUCUCUGGCUUGGUUAAUCCAACUCUACUCAUGAAUGGAUUUUUCUCUUCCCAAAAGCAGCAUAAUUUUUUUAACACUUUUUUUUUAAUAUAUAUAUAUAAUAUAUUUAUAUAUAAAAACUAGCAGACAGGAUCAACAACAACCAUACCCCAAAAAAACCCAAACAAAAA